This 2075-nucleotide ribosomal RNA is filed under the name Haloechinothrix alba. RNAcentral describes it as "bacterial LSU rRNA". It matches the Rfam family "Bacterial large subunit ribosomal RNA", at positions 1 to 1887 of the family's 2925-position model. The record is from RNAcentral. Lineage: Bacteria; Bacillati; Actinomycetota; Actinomycetes; Pseudonocardiales; Pseudonocardiaceae.
GUGGUCAAGUUUUUAUGAGCACAUGGUGGAUGCCUGGGCACUGGGCGCCGAUGAAGGACGUGGGAGGCUGCGAUAAGCCUCGGGGAGCUGUCAACCGAGCUGAGAUCCGAGGAUGUCCGAAUGGGGAAACCCAGCACUCGUGAUGGAGUGUUACCCGCACCUGAAUGUAUAGGGUGUGUGGAGGGAACGCGGGGAAGUGAAACAUCUCAGUACCCGUAGGAAGAGAAAACAACCGUGAUUCCCUGAGUAGUGGUGAGCGAAAGGGGAUGAGGCUAAACCGCAUGCGUGUGAUACCUGGCAGGGGUUGCGUGUGUGGGGUUGUGGGAGCCUGUUGGAGGGAUCUGCCAGUCCUUCGGAUGUGUGCUGGUGGUUAGCGGAAGCGCUUGGGAUGGCGCGCCGGAGUGGGUGAGAGUCCCGUACGUGAAAGCUGCUGGUGUGUGUCUGUGCAGGUUGUCCCGAGUAGCAGCGAGCCCGUGGAAUUUGCUGUGAAUCGGCCAGGACCACCUGGUAAGCCUAAAUACGUCCCAGUGACCGAUAGCGGAUGAGUACCGUGAGGGAAUGGUGAAAAGUACCCCGGGAGGGGAGUGAAAGAGUACCUGAAACCAUGUGCUUACAAGCCGUCAGAGCCUGCGGGUGAUGGCGUGCCUUUUGAAGAAUGAGCCUGCGAGUUAGUGCUGCGUGGCAAGGUUAACCCGUGUGGGGUAGCCGUAGCGAAAGCGAGUCUGAAGAGGGCGGUUGGAGUCGCGUGGUCUAGACCCGAAACGGGGUGAUCUACCCAUGGCCAGGGUGAAGCGCCGGUAAGACGGCGUGGAGGCCCGAACCCACUUAGGUUGAAAACUGAGGGGAUGAGCUGUGGGUAGGGGUGAAAGGCCAAUCAAACCCUGUGAUAGCUGGUUCUCCCCGAAAUGCAUUUAGGUGCAGCGUCGCAUGGUUCACAUCUGGGGUAGAGCUACUGGAUGGCUGAGGGGCCUUACCGGGUUACCGAUGUCAACUAAACUCCGAAUACGGGUGUGUGUAGUGCGGCAGUGAGACGGUGGGGGAGAAGCUUCAUCGUCGAGAGGGAAACAGCCCAGAACGCCGGCUAAGGCCCCUAAGUGUGUGCUGAGUGGAAAAGGAUGUGGGAUUGCCCAGACAACCAGGAGGUUGGCUUAGAAGCAGCCAUCCUUGAAAGAGUGCGUAAUAGCUCACUGGUCAAGUGAUCCUGCGCCGAUAAUGUAGCGGGGCUAAGCACACCGCCGAAGCCGUGUCGCCCAUGCGUGAACAUCGGUAUCCGCCUGCGGGUGGGUAUCCAGUGGUAUGGGUGGGUAGGGGAGCGUCGAUCACCUGGUGAAGCCGUGGCGUGAGCUAGCGGUGGAGGGUGGUCGAGUGAGAAUGCAGGCAUGAGUAGCGAAAGCAGAGUGAGAAUCUCUGCCGCCGGAUGACCAAGGGUUCCUGGGCCAGGCUGUUCCGCCCAGGGUUAGUCGGGACCUAAGGCGAGGCCGACAGGCGUAGUCGAUGGAUAACGGGUUGAUAUUCCCGUACCCGCGUGUGCGCGUCCCUGGUGAGGCGGGGGAUACUAACCACCCGAACCUCGCUGCUGGUCUUCGGACCGGUGUGCGGGGGGAGCGUGGGACCUGAUCCUGUAGUAGCCAAGCGAUGGGGUGACGCAGAAAGGUAGCUCCGCCAGCGGAUGGAAGUGCUGGUGUAAGCGUGUAGGAGGAGGCAUAGGCAAAUCCGUGCCUCGUUACAGCUCUGAGACGUGACGCGUAGCCGUAUGAGGCGAAGUGAGUGAUCCUCUGCUGCCGAGAAAAGCCUCUAGCGAGCGCACGGGCGGCCCGUACCCCAAACCAACACAGGUGGUCAGGUAGAGAAUACCGAGGCGAGCGGGUGAACUGUGGUUAAGGAACUCGGCAAAAUGCCCCCGUAACUUCGGGAGAAGGGGGGCCAAAACACGUGGAGCCCCGCGCGGGCCGAGCGUGGGUUGGCCGCAGAGACCAGCGGAGAGCGACUGUUUACUAAAAACACAGGUCCAUGCGAAGAAGCAAUUCGAUGUAUAUGGACUGACGCCUGCCCGGUGCUGGAACGUUAAGAGGACC